AACGAACGCUGGCGGCAGGCCUAACACAUGCAAGUCGAACGAACCGUGCCCUUCGGGGCACUAUGUUAGUGGCGCACGGGUGAGUAACACGUGGGAACGUACCCUUUAGUGCGGAAUAACCAAGGGAAACUUUGGCUAAUACCGCAUACGCCCUUCGGGGGAAAGAUUUAUCGCUAAAGGAUCGGCCCGCGCCUGAUUAGGUUGUUGGUGGGGUAAAAGCCUACCAAGCCGACGAUCAGUAGCUGGUCUGAGAGGAUGAUCAGCCACACUGGGACUGAGACACGGCCCAG
This 290-nucleotide ribosomal RNA is filed under the name uncultured bacterium. RNAcentral describes it as "partial 16S ribosomal RNA". It matches the Rfam family "Bacterial small subunit ribosomal RNA", at positions 29 to 334 of the family's 1533-position model. The record is from RNAcentral.